GAUGAACGCUGGCGGCGUGCCUAAUACAUGCAAGUCGAGCGAACGGACGAGAAGCUUGCUUUUCUGAUGUUAGCGGCGGACGGGUGAGUAACACGUGGAUAACCUACCUAUAAGACUGGGAUAACUUCGGGAAACCGGAGCUAAUACCGGAUAAUAUUUUGAACCGCAUGGUUCAAAAGUGAAAGACGGUCUUGCUGUCACUUAUAGAUGGAUCCGCGCUGCAUUAGCUAGUUGGUAAGGUAACGGCUUACCAAGGCAACGAUGCAUAGCCGACCUGAGAGGGGGGUCGGGCCCCCCGGAACUGAGACACGGUCCAGACUCCUACGGGAGGGAGCAGUAGGGAAUCGUCCGCAAAGGGCGGAAGCCUGACGGGACAACGCCGCGGGAGGGGUGAAGGUCUUCGGAUCGUAAAACUCUGUUAUUAGGGAAAGACAAAUGUGUAAGUUACUGUGAACAUCUUGACGGUACCUAAUCAGAAAGCCACGGCUAACUACGUG
Molecule: ribosomal RNA, 497 nt
Filed under: uncultured bacterium
Lineage: Bacteria
Description: partial 16S ribosomal RNA
Rfam family: Bacterial small subunit ribosomal RNA
Source: RNAcentral